This is a long non-coding RNA of Dermacentor albipictus, 959 nucleotides long. RefSeq lists it as uncharacterized. The record is from RefSeq and is a predicted model, not a curated record. Lineage: Eukaryota; Metazoa; Arthropoda; Arachnida; Ixodida; Ixodidae.
CCACGUGGUCGAAGGAAAGCUUAAAAGGAGAGCACUCGCAGUGCUCCAGCCUUUUCCUGCACCGGUCGGCCUGCGUGGUCACGGCCGGACUGGACCACGUGGAUGGUGCGUGCUCCGGUCCGGCCGUGGCCUCGCUUUGCUCUUCGCCACAUUGUGAAGACUGGGCCGGCUAACGUUCAUUUCCGUUUCCUACACCAACAAGGGGACCACGUGGUCGAAAGAAAGCAUAAACGGAGAGCACUCGCAGUGCCCCACCGUUUUCCUGCACCGGUCGGCCUGCCUGGUCACGGCCGGGCUGGACUACGCGCAUGGUACGUGCUCCAGUCCGGCCGUGGCCGGGCUUUUCACUUCACCACAUUGUGAAGACUGGGCCGGCUAACGCUCUUUUCCGUUUCCUACGCGCACAAGGGGACCACGUGGUCGAAAGAAAGCAUAAAAGGAGAGCACUCGCUCUGCAUCACCCUUUUCCUGCACCGGUCGGCCUGCCCGGUCACGGCCGGACUGGACUACGUCCAUGACGCGUGCUCCGGUCCUGCCGCGGCCUGGCUUUUCACUUCGCCACGCUGUGAAGACUGGGCCGGCUAACGUUGUUUUCUGUUUCCUACGCGCACAAGCAUCUGAGCAACGGACAUACCCGUAUGCUCUACCCCUGGAGUGCACAUGGACACGGCGAUCACCGGGACCUUCUUUCAUAGGCGCCUCCAUCCAAGCGAAGGCAGCUAGACCUCUCUCAAGCACCGAGAUUGCCGAAUGGGGGAACAUUGGAUCACCGACUCUACGCCGCCUGAUGCUGCCUUCGAUGGUCUACAGUGGGCUUUGUCCAAGUGCUUCUGGCCUACGCUCUCGACUACUUACCAUGAAACAACCGUUUUUUUCUUUUUUUUUUUUGAGGCCUGCGAAGCGAUAACUGCGAGCUAAACUAGUGUGGACUUCAUAUUUCUCCAGGGGGACGAAGAAUG